CCGGAUUUGUUAUAACAUGAGCAACACGACGGGUGCCACAUGUGGAGCAGGAUCUGCUCACCAUUCCGGAGCACGAGAUCACCCCCAGUUUCUGGUGGGGUUCGUGUUGCUUAUUCUUUAGUAGUUUUCUAUGUUGUGACAGGUGUACUAUAAAUUGUCUGUUUUAUCUUUUUCAUUUUUAGCCAUGGCGUUAUCAGUUUAUUUUCGAUAUAUGAGUUUGACUGUCCUUCUAGUAUCUUUCGUCCCUCUUUUACAAAAUAGUAUGACUGACUUUUUUGUUAAGAAAGAAGAUAUUGAUGAAGAUGUUUUCUAUAUUUGCGUAUAAUGUUGGCUUAUGAAUAGAAUUAACGUCCCGUUCCAAUUUCGUGGAAAUUUUACUUAUCCUAAAUUUUAUUGGUUAUACUUGUAGAUCUGAAGCUGAUUUUUGGUACAUCAAUGUAUAAUCUGAUAUGGGGUAUACAUAAACUCAUAAUAGAUACAAGGGCUAAAUUUAGUAUAUACGUCAGACGUGCGUUUCGUCUACAAAAGACUC
Molecule: long non-coding RNA, 532 nt
Filed under: Mytilus galloprovincialis (Mediterranean mussel)
Lineage: Eukaryota; Metazoa; Mollusca; Bivalvia; Mytilida; Mytilidae
Source: RNAcentral